Molecule: long non-coding RNA, 378 nt
Filed under: Mytilus galloprovincialis (Mediterranean mussel)
Lineage: Eukaryota; Metazoa; Mollusca; Bivalvia; Mytilida; Mytilidae
Source: RNAcentral
CUCCUGUAUGUUUACAAAAUUUACUAAAAAUUAAACACACUAAAUAUUCUUUUAGAUACAGUAAUAUUUUGGAUAUACCACAGGUAAGAACUACCUCAUAUGGAAAAAAAUCUUUUAGUUUUGCUGCUGCUUCUUUAUGGAAUAGCUUACCAGACCACUUCAGGACUGUUAACAGCUUCUCACAUUUUAAGAGUCUUGUUCAGUCCUGGAGUGGAACAGAAUGUUUUUGCUCUGCCUGUAGAUAACUUUGUGUUACAAUAUUUAUGCUUUUUAUGCUGCAUUAACAGCUUGCUUUGCAACUGAAAUUUUGUUUUUUUUUUACUUUUUAAAAUUUGAAAGAUUUGAAAUUUUUACUUUAUAAAUCAUAAAUUAUUUAAA